CAGUAGCGUAUAUUAAAGUUGUUGCAGUUAAAAAGCUCGUAGUUGGAUUUCUGGGAGGGUGCCAAUGUCCGCCGUGUGCGAGCGCAGCGGCGCCCUUCCAUCCUUCUGUUAAGGCCUCUUGGCAUUCAUUUGCUGGUGGCGGGCGCAGAUAUUUUACCUUGAGAAAAUUAGAGUGUUUCAGGCAGGCUAAGCCGGAAUACAUUAGCAUGGAAUAAUGGAACAGGACUGAGGUCUCUUUGUUGGUUUGAGGGACUGCAGUAAUGAUUAAUAGGGAUAGUUGGGGGCAUUAGUAUUUGACUGUCAGAGGUGGAAUUCUCGGAUUUGUUAAAGACUAACUUAUGCGAAAGCAUUUGCCAAGGAUGUUUUCAUUAA
Molecule: ribosomal RNA, 372 nt
Filed under: uncultured eukaryote
Lineage: Eukaryota
Description: partial 18S ribosomal RNA
Rfam family: Eukaryotic small subunit ribosomal RNA
Source: RNAcentral